UGAUCCUGGCUCAGAUUGAACGCUGGCGGCAGGCCUAACACAUGCAAGUCGAGCGGUAACACAAGGGAGCUUGCUCCUGAGGUGACGAGCGGCGGACGGGUGAGUAAUGCCUAGGUAUCUGCCCAGUCGAGGGGGAUAACAGUUGGAAACGACUGCUAAUACCGCAUACGCCCUACGGGGGAAAGGAGGGGACCUUCGGGCCUUUCGCGAUUGGAUGAACCUAGGUGGGAUUAGCUAGUAGGUGGGGUAAUGGCUCACCUAGGCAACGAUCCCUAGCUGGUCUGAGAGGAUGAUCAGCCACACUGGAACUGAGACACGGUCCAGACUCCUACGGGAGGCAGCAGUGGGGAAUAUUGCACAAUGGGCGAAAGCCUGAUGCAGCCAUGCCGCGUGUAUGAAGAAGGCCUUCGGGUUGUAAAGUACUUUCAGCGAGGAGGAAAGGUUGUUGGUUAAUAACCAACAGCUGUGACGUUACUCGCAGAAGAAGCACCGGCUAACUUCGUGCCAGCAGCCGCGGUAAUAC
RNAcentral lists this ribosomal RNA (523 nucleotides) under uncultured marine bacterium. RNAcentral's name for it is "bacterial SSU rRNA". It matches the Rfam family "Bacterial small subunit ribosomal RNA", at positions 14 to 526 of the family's 1533-position model. The record is from RNAcentral.